AGUCUUAUAUUCAAAAUUUAUGAUUUUAAAUUGCAAAUUUAAAAGUGGUGUAUUUAAGCCCUAAGGACUU
RNAcentral lists this transfer RNA (70 nucleotides) under Oxypoda opaca. RNAcentral describes it as "tRNA-Cys". The record is from RNAcentral. Lineage: Eukaryota; Metazoa; Arthropoda; Insecta; Coleoptera; Staphylinidae.